GUGCAUCGAACUGCUGGCUCCCCAUCCGCUUCAAUCUUUCCCCAAGCGAUGUUUCAUCCUUGCGGGUGUGCAUGGUAUCCUGUGUUGCUUACCCAUGAAAUGGAAUUCGGUGGCUUUGUUGUGUUGAUCCGUUAUGUGCCCUUUCGGGUAUGGGACGGACGUGAAGCGGGCUCUGUGUUCCCAACAUGCUUAGUGUGUUGUUGCUUAGUCGUUGUGGCCCAUGGAGUCCUUGGCUUGUUCUCUAGGAUACGGAAUGCUAAGCUUGGGCGUAAGGUCUUGGCCUCAAUUCGUCCAAGCAUUGUCCCUUGACUCGAACGACUGCUGCGCCCGUCUUGAUCUUCCCGACCAAGGCCUGUAAUAGGGCUUACUGGACGAGGGUUGCUCAUGCGGGCAUCGGUGUCGAAGAGGAAUGC
Molecule: unclassified non-coding RNA, 413 nt
Filed under: Leionema nudum
Lineage: Eukaryota; Viridiplantae; Streptophyta; Magnoliopsida; Sapindales; Rutaceae
Description: partial external transcribed spacer
Source: RNAcentral